UGUCUCCCCCCUCCAAUCAGUGAAACUGAUCUCCCCGUGAAGAAGCGGGGAUACAAAUAUAAGACGAGAAGACCCCAUGGAGCUUUAAACCCAACAGCACCCGUUUAUUUUCAUCCUCACAUAAGUUAGGCUAUGCCUGUUUGGUUUUAGGUUGGGGUGACCACGGAGUAUAAAACAACCUCCAUGAAAAAAGGACCAAAAAUCCUUAUUAGAGAAAGACAUUUCUAAAAUUAAUAAAUUAAUUUUUAAUGAUCCGAUAUUCGAUCAACGAACCAAGUUACCCUGGGGAUAACAGCGCAAUCCACUUCAAGAGCUCCUAUCGACAAGUGGGUUUACGACCUCGAUGUUGGAUCAGGGUAUCCUAGUGGUGCAGCAGCUACUAACGGUUCGUUUGUUCAACGAUUAAAACCCU
RNAcentral lists this ribosomal RNA (412 nucleotides) under Boophis elenae. RNAcentral's name for it is "partial 16S ribosomal RNA". It matches the Rfam family "Bacterial large subunit ribosomal RNA", at positions 2017 to 2597 of the family's 2925-position model. The record is from RNAcentral. Lineage: Eukaryota; Metazoa; Chordata; Amphibia; Anura; Mantellidae.